This 369-nucleotide long non-coding RNA is filed under the name Fukomys damarensis (Damara mole-rat). RNAcentral describes it as "lncRNA (ENSFDAG00000023327.1)". Lineage: Eukaryota; Metazoa; Chordata; Mammalia; Rodentia; Bathyergidae. The record is from RNAcentral.
UGCCUCCUUUGAACUGUAUAUUUUGGAGUUAUCAAACUGUCCAAAUGUGAAGGAAGUUUUUUGUUGUUGUUGUUGUUGUUUUAAAGAAAGCAACCUACAGAAGACAACUAUAAGAUGUCAAGAAACAACUUCUGGGCCAUGGUGCAGCAGCAGGUCAGAGUACCACAGAAGUGACAAGCAAAUUGCCAGGAAGAAUCUGGAACAGAUCACUGCAGAACUGCCUAUAAAUGAUUGCAUGGUACAGAAAGGCAGUGUGAAAAGGUCACUGGCCUGAGAUCAGAAGACCUGGAUUGUGAUCAUGUGAGGACAAAGAGCCAGUCUACAGUGGCCUUCUUCAGGGAACGCAAAGACCCAAGAGUUGGUGUAAAA